UAGGGAAUUUUCGUCAAUGGGCGCAAGCCUGAACGAGCAAUGCCGCGUGAACGAGGAAGGUCUUCGGAUCGUAAAGUUCUGUUGAAGGGGAAAAAGAGACGGAGAGAGGAAAUGCUUUCUGAUUGAUAUUACCCUUCGAGGAAGUCACGGCUAACUACGUGCC
This 163-nucleotide ribosomal RNA is filed under the name uncultured bacterium. RNAcentral describes it as "partial 16S ribosomal RNA". It matches the Rfam family "Bacterial small subunit ribosomal RNA", at positions 355 to 509 of the family's 1533-position model. The record is from RNAcentral.